This 355-nucleotide long non-coding RNA is filed under the name Homo sapiens (human). RNAcentral describes it as "LNC_000084". Lineage: Eukaryota; Metazoa; Chordata; Mammalia; Primates; Hominidae. The record is from RNAcentral.
CUCUGUAAGGCGGGCAGAGGCAUAGGCCGAAGCUCCAAGGCAGGCGGCAGGUUCACAGAAGCCCGGCAGCCCCACGGGGCCUGGCAGGCCAGGUCGACCUGCCUCUCCUGGAGCCCCUGGGGACCCUCGAUCUCCAUCCUUGCCGUUGAUUGCCUGGCCAGGCCGGCCAGGGAGUCCUGGGAUCCCUGGGGGCCCAGGCAUCCCGGGGUGCCCCCGUCCCACUUCUCCUGGAUCACCCUUCUCUCCACGUUUUCCCUUGGGCCCCGUGUUGCCGAUCUGACCCACGGCUCCCACGAUGCCAGGAACGCCCCGAGGGCCAGGGUGCCCAUGGGGGCCCUGCUUGCCUGGGUACCCA